UACGAAGGGGGGCUAGCGUUGCUCGGAAUCACUGGGCGUAAAGGGUGCGUAGGCGGCCUGACAAGUCUGAUGUGAAAUCCCUGGGCUCAACCCAGGGCCUGCAUCGGAAACUGUCGGGCUUGAGUAUGGGAGAGGUGAGUGGAAUUUCCGGUGUAGCGGUGAAAUGCGUAGAUAUCGGAAGGAACACCUGUGGCGAAAGCGGCUCACUGGACCAUUACUGACGCUGAGGCACGAAAGCUAGGGGAGCAAACAGG
RNAcentral lists this ribosomal RNA (254 nucleotides) under uncultured bacterium. RNAcentral describes it as "partial 16S ribosomal RNA". It matches the Rfam family "Bacterial small subunit ribosomal RNA", at positions 524 to 776 of the family's 1533-position model. The record is from RNAcentral.